Molecule: ribosomal RNA, 588 nt
Filed under: Cantrainea macleani
Lineage: Eukaryota; Metazoa; Mollusca; Gastropoda; Trochida; Colloniidae
Description: partial 16S ribosomal RNA
Rfam family: Bacterial large subunit ribosomal RNA
Source: RNAcentral
CGCCCCCUGUUAGUAACGAAAUCAUUUAUAGAUAGUUUUUAAGAUAGGGGGUCUGACCUGCCCGGUGACGUAAAGUUAAACGGCUGCGAUUUUAGAUCGUACUAAGGUAGCAUAAUAAUUUGCCCUUUAAUUGGGGGCUAGUAUGAAUGGUUUGACGAGAGCCAAGCUGUCUCUUUUUAAAUUUUUAGAAAUUAACUUUUAGGUGAAGAGGCCUAAUAUUUUACUGAGGGACGAGAAGACCCUAUUGAGCUUAAGCGAAGUAAUAAAUCUUUAUAUAAAAACAUGCCAAAUAUAAAUAGGGCAGAGGUUUUUAUCAAUUAGAAAUUUAAAGAAUUUAUUAUUAAUCUUUAGCUGGGACGGCUGGGGAAUACAAAUAACUUCCCUGAAAAUAGCUACCAAUGCAAAUUUCAUGUUAAUGAGGACCCAAUUAUUAUUGAUCAGCGGAAAAAGUUACCAUAGGGAUAACAGCGUGAUCUCUCUAGAGAGCUCUUAUCGAAGGAGGGGAUUACGACCUCGAUGUUGGACUAAGAUAUCCCAGGGGUGCAGAAGCUCCUGACGGUUGGUCUGUUCGACCAUUAAAAUCUUACA